GUGCUCGAGUGGCGAACGGGUGAGUAACACGUGAGUAACCUGCCCUUGACUUUGGGAUAACUUCAGGAAACUGGGGCUAAUACCGGAUAGGAGCUCCUGCUGCAUGGUGGGGGUUGGAAAGUUUCGGCGGUUGGGGAUGGACUCGCGGCUUAUCAGCUUGUUGGUGGGGUAGUUGCUUACCAAGGCUUUGACGGGUAGCCGGCCUGAGAGGGUGACCGGCCACAUUGGGACUGAGAUACGGCCCAG
Molecule: ribosomal RNA, 246 nt
Filed under: uncultured Actinomycetales bacterium
Lineage: Bacteria; Bacillati; Actinomycetota; Actinomycetes; Actinomycetales
Description: partial 16S ribosomal RNA
Rfam family: Bacterial small subunit ribosomal RNA
Source: RNAcentral